Non-coding RNA from Amborella trichopoda, 47 nucleotides. The record is from Rfam. Lineage: Eukaryota; Viridiplantae; Streptophyta; Magnoliopsida; Amborellales; Amborellaceae.
UGGCUGGAUUUUUUAAAAUCCACCUUAUAUGUAUCAAAAAAGUUUAU